GACGGGGGGUCCUAGCGUUGCUCGGAAUCAUUGGGCGUAAAGCGGACGUAGGCGGCUAUGUAAGUCAGGAGUGAAAGCCCUGGGCUCAACCCAGGAAGUGCUUUUGAUACUGCAUAGCUUGAGUGUGGGAGAGGGUCGUAGAAUUCCAGGUGUAGUGGUGAAAUACGUAGAUAUCUGGAGGAACACCGGUGGCGAAGGCGGCGGCCAGGCCCAACACUGACGCUGAGGUCCGAAAGCGUGGGGAUCAAACAGG
Molecule: ribosomal RNA, 253 nt
Filed under: uncultured bacterium
Lineage: Bacteria
Description: partial 16S ribosomal RNA
Rfam family: Bacterial small subunit ribosomal RNA
Source: RNAcentral